GUGUCAGCCGCCGCGGUAAGACAGAGGGUGCAAACGUUGUUCGGAAUUACUGGGCGUAAAGCGCGUGUAGGCUGCUUGGAAAGUCGGAUGUGAAAGCCCUGGGCUUAACCCAGGAAGUGCACUCGAAACUUCCGAGCUUGAGUUCUGGAGAGGGUGGCGGAAUUCUCGGUGUAGAGGUGAAAUUCGUAGAUAUCGAGAGGAACACCGGUGGCGAAGGCGGCUACCUGGACAGAAACUGACGCUGAGACGCGAAAGCGUGGGGAGCAAACAGGAUUAGAUACCCUCGUAGUCC
RNAcentral lists this ribosomal RNA (292 nucleotides) under uncultured bacterium. RNAcentral's name for it is "partial 16S ribosomal RNA". It matches the Rfam family "Bacterial small subunit ribosomal RNA", at positions 505 to 796 of the family's 1533-position model. The record is from RNAcentral.